Molecule: long non-coding RNA, 374 nt
Organism: Podarcis raffonei (Aeolian wall lizard)
Lineage: Eukaryota; Metazoa; Chordata; Lepidosauria; Squamata; Lacertidae
Exons: 3
Source: RefSeq, a predicted model, not a curated record
AGUUUCUCGCGUUCCCCUCCCAGCUCCACCCAUUUCCUUCUCUUUGAGGCCUCGUCAUUUCUUAUUCAAGCGGGUGCUCGCGGAGUACGCAUGCGUAUCUGUUGAAGUGGUCGCAAGUCUGUGGAAGGGGCUCAUUUCCCCGCGUUUAAGGCGCGCGCUGCGUUGGUCUCUUCGGGGGUCGGCUCUACCAAAGUGAGUGGCAAAAGCACGUCCAGUUCUGAACUUCAGAUGGCAGCACAACCUAUGGCUAAGUGGGGGCAGAGGUGAGGAGAACCCCAUGUCCCCGACUGAGAAGAGUUCGAGAAGACUGGAAGGUGACAAGUUACCCAAUCCCCAAGAAAGUAAAUAGGCUCUCUUACCUGGAACGCCCACCA